Malania oleifera is the source of this 407-nucleotide long non-coding RNA. RefSeq lists it as uncharacterized. The transcript is spliced from 3 exons. NCBI's taxonomy places the organism in Eukaryota, Viridiplantae, Streptophyta, Magnoliopsida, Santalales, Ximeniaceae. The record is from RefSeq and is a predicted model, not a curated record.
GGUUCAUCGCUGCCAUUGUGAUCUAAAUCAUCGUCUUUUUAUCCCUAUCUUGUCAAGCAUGCUUCCCCUUGUUUCUUAAUCUUCAAAUUUUCUUCGUUCCCUUAGAAGGCAAGAUGAAACCACAAAUAACAACUCUUGCAUUAAUCAUAUUCAACAAAACCUUAGCAUUUUUUUUUUUCUGAUUAUUGACAUAUCUGAUCAUUUCCGUCUAUUCUUCUUUCUCUUGAUUCCCUUCUUCGAGGACACAUGCCUAUAAAAAUAACACAGAUAAAAACUAUGUCCAUUGAUCAAAGUUGGAGGGAUAUGAAAAUAAUAGAUAAAGGAGGGCUUCCAUGCAUAUAUGACAAAGGAGUGCAGACAUGACGUGUUGUUUCAAGGCAAUGACCUAGCCCAACCUCUUCCAUUUU